This 714-nucleotide long non-coding RNA is filed under the name Panicum hallii. RNAcentral describes it as "long non-coding RNA (PHAL_LNC000509)". The record is from RNAcentral. Lineage: Eukaryota; Viridiplantae; Streptophyta; Magnoliopsida; Poales; Poaceae.
GACCAACCAUAACCAUGAGCAUGCCGAUCAGAUAGAUGAUCACAUGUGAACAUACAGCCUUGGUGGGGGCGAUUAUACAGGCUAAACUACUAUAGUAAACAUUAUUAUGUAGUGACAGCAUGGAGAUCCCCACAAAGAUCAAUGAAGAAACAAAUGCGUUAUUUCUAACAAAUUUAAUAACCUUCCUCCAUAGAAACAAACUUUACUACUUCAUUCAACUACAGUGACAGAGAGUGUUCUUUCAUUUUCCAAUAAACCUUUCCUCUUCUCGACGAACGGCACGUGACAAAUAUUCCUGAGGUCGUGAGUCGUGACUCGUGAGACCACCAUAGAGGAAAGGGAAAGCCACAUCAAAGUUUAGGCGGAAAGAAAAUUCCUUUCCUAGUCAAAAAAAAAAGUAAAAGUGAGGUUCUGAGGGAUUUUCUACAGAAAGAAUCUUAUUCGUAGUGUCUGAGUGUCCGGACUGCAGAGGAAAGGUAAAAGGAAGGUUUGCGGCUAAGUCAUGACCCAACAAUUAAAAGUAGUCAAGAUCACAAGACGCGAUCUGUAUAAGACGAGAUCUGUAUAGUGUAGAUGCUCAAUAAGUGCUCAUUGCAGUGAGCCAGACAACCUCACCUUUGGUGCCGUCCUUCCAGUCGUAACCAGUGGGUAGCUAGCUCGGCUUAUAACACUGGCGAAAGAGGCAGCAGGAAUGAUUGGAGCCCCCACACGGAC